RNAcentral lists this ribosomal RNA (486 nucleotides) under uncultured bacterium. RNAcentral's name for it is "partial 16S ribosomal RNA". It matches the Rfam family "Bacterial small subunit ribosomal RNA", at positions 30 to 507 of the family's 1533-position model. The record is from RNAcentral.
AUUGAACGCUGGCGACAUGCCUUACACAUGCAAGUCGAACGGCAGCACGGGUGCUUGCACCUGGUGGCGAGUGGCGAACGGGUGAGUAAUACAUCGGAACAUGUCCUGUAGUGGGGGAUAGCCCGGCGAAAGCCGGAUUAAUACCGCAUACGAUCUACGGAUGACAGCGGGGGACCUUCGGGCCUCGCGCUAUAGGGUUGGCCGAUGGCUGAUUAGCUAGUUGGUGGGGUAAAGGCCUACCAAGGCGACGAUCAGUAGCUGGUCUGAGAGGACGACCAGUCACACUGGGACUGAGACACGGCCCAGACUCCUACGGGAGGCAGCAGUGGGGAAUUUUGGACAAUGGGCGAAAGCCUGAUCCAGCAAUGCCGCGUGUGUGAAGAAGGCCUUCGGGUUGUAAAGCACUUUUGUCCGGAAAGAAAUCCUUGGCCCUAAUACGGUCGGGGGAUGACGGUACCGGAAGAAUAAGCACCGGCUAACUACGUG